UGCACCAACAACAAAUCUGGUUACCUGUGAAUCAGGAACUGCCCAUCUCAGCUGUGCACAGGGAACCAUUAAGGUGCUUUCUGCCAACUAUGGGCGAACCGACCGAACAACCUGCUCUACUGGAAGACCAGCUCACCAGCUCUCAAAUGUUCAGUGCACUCAGAGCACAUCCCUAAGUGUGGUGACCACUCAAUGUGAUGGAAAGCAGAAUUGUUCCAUUGUUGUGCGGAAUAGCAGUUUUCACUGAUCCUUGUCCUGGAACUUACAAAUAUCUGAAUGUGUCUUACGAGUGCAUCUUAC
This is a long non-coding RNA of Triplophysa rosa, 300 nucleotides long. RefSeq lists it as uncharacterized. The transcript is spliced from 3 exons. The record is from RefSeq and is a predicted model, not a curated record. NCBI's taxonomy places the organism in Eukaryota, Metazoa, Chordata, Actinopteri, Cypriniformes, Nemacheilidae.